CGGACGACGCUGGCGGCGUGCCUAACACAUGCAAGUCGAGCGGGGUUGAGGCGAGAGGUAACUCGAGCUUCUACCUAGCGGCGGACGGGUGAGUAACGCGUGGGCAACCUGCCUCAAGGUUUGGGAUAACAGCCCGAAAGGGCUGCUAAUACCGGAUAUGCCUAUGGCCUCGCAUGGGGCUAUGAGCAAAGGGGAAACCCGCCUUGAGAUGGGCCCGCGUCCCAUCAGCUAGUUGGUGAGGUAACAGCUCACCAAGGCGACGACGGGUAGCCGGCCUGAGAGGGUGACCGGCCACACUGGGACUGAGACACGGCCCAGACUCCUACGGGGGGCAGCAGUGGGGGAUCUUGCACAAUGGGCGAAAGCCUGAUGCAGCGACGCCGCGUGAGCGAAGAAGGCCUUCGGGUUGUAAAGCUCUGUCUGGAGGGACGAAGGAAGUGACGGUACCUCCGGAGGAAGCCACGGCUAACUACGUG
Molecule: ribosomal RNA, 476 nt
Filed under: uncultured bacterium
Lineage: Bacteria
Description: bacterial SSU rRNA
Rfam family: Bacterial small subunit ribosomal RNA
Source: RNAcentral